Molecule: ribosomal RNA, 465 nt
Filed under: Vreelandella stevensii
Lineage: Bacteria; Pseudomonadati; Pseudomonadota; Gammaproteobacteria; Oceanospirillales; Halomonadaceae
Description: partial 16S ribosomal RNA
Rfam family: Bacterial small subunit ribosomal RNA
Source: RNAcentral
CCUACGGGUGGCAGCAGUGGGGAAUAUUGGACAAUGGGCGAAAGCCUGAUCCAGCCAUGCCGCGUGUGUGAAGAAGGCCUUCGGGUUGUAAAGCACUUUCAGUGGGGAAGAAAGCCUUGGGGCUAAUACCCUCGAGGAAGGACAUCACCCACAGAAGAAGCACCGGCUAACUCCGUGCCAGCAGCCGCGGUAAUACGGAGGGUGCGAGCGUUAAUCGGAAUUACUGGGCGUAAAGCGCGCGUAGGCGGUCUGAUAAGCCGGUUGUGAAAGCCCCGGGCUCAACCUGGGAACGGCAUCCGGAACGGUCAGGCUAGAGUGCAGGAGAGGAAGGUAGAAUUCCCGGUGUAGCGGUGAAAUGCGUAGAGAUCGGGAGGAAUACCAGUGGCGAAGGCGGCCUUCUGGACUGACACUGACGCUGAGGUGCGAAAGCGUGGGUAGCAAACAGGAUUAGAUACCCGGGUAGUC